UUAAAAGUCCCUCCAGAAAAACGUGAUUAUUAUUCACCUUAUUUUUCACGACAACAAGGGCGGCGCCAUUUCGCUCAUUUUGUCAACGUUCUUCCGGCCGCAAAGACGAUGAGCAGCUGAGGCAGUGACUGAAGGCGACGUGUUAAGCUUAAAAAGCUCACUCGAGCGCCUUUAUGUUUCUUUCUUACCAAUUUUAAGCCAACUGAGGAACACCCUUAUCGCAAGUAAUUAAUGGUUCGACUACGAUGUUCCGGUAACUUUAAACCACGCCUGGUGUUGAAAAGGUGGCCAGUUUCAGAUGCAUUGAUGUUUAGUGAUGCAGUGGACAACUGUGAGGAUGAUACAAUCAACAUGUUCCUAAACUGUGAUGCAGAAACACAAUGGGAGCAUCUAUCCGUCUCUGACCACAACUACACUUUAAAAUCACAACUCAACCUGAAGCAACCUACAUCUGAUAUGGGAAAACAAUGGUGCAGUUUCACUGACAGGGCUUAUCCUGGUACCAGGCUAAAAUGCAUAUUUGAGCUACAAUAAUUUAAAAACACCUUUUACUGACAUACCUCAACAUAUAUUAGUGCCAUUGUUUUGUCACAAGAUGCGCACCAGUCUUGUUUUUUUGUAGGAUUUGUUUGUAAAAACUAAAAUGUCCUAAUAUAAUUAAGGCCUAGUCCUGUAAACCCUGUCUGAGAAACUGCUUCUGCUUCAUGUGUUGAGCUGGCACAAAUGUACAUAUCUCUGCUGAGAAACAACCAUCUUUGUCAGCUUUACACAGGGUUGAUAUUGCAUCCAUUACACAGUCGCCAAGCACUUUACCAGUACAUACACCAACAGCUUCCAGAUAUACGCUUGGGAUCAGCUCCUGAUGACUCCUUAAUUUAUUGCAGGGUGGUCUUGCUUUACCGGUUGUAAAGUUACAUUAAACCUUCAUAUGUGAUCAGAUGUCAUGCAGUGAUAUUAAACAUUUACAGUGUGAUCAGAUGUUGUGCAUUUAUAUUAAACAUUUACAAUGUGAUCAGAUGUUGUGCAUUUAUAUUAAAUCUUUACAAUGUGAUCAUGUUGUGCAUUUAUAUUAAAUCUUUACAAUGUGAUCAGCUGUUACCUGUCAUGCAGUUAUAUUAAACAUUUACAAUGUGA
Long non-coding RNA from Paramisgurnus dabryanus, 1134 nucleotides. RefSeq lists it as uncharacterized. Lineage: Eukaryota; Metazoa; Chordata; Actinopteri; Cypriniformes; Cobitidae. The record is from RefSeq and is a predicted model, not a curated record.